UUCCAAUCUCCCUGUUGGGUUAUUACCUGAGCAGCUUUCUGCUUUCCUUUUGUUCGAUGGCGCAAUACGAACAUUGCAGCUUUGAAGAAGCCGAAAACGCCUGGUGGCUUCGCCUUCUUCUUAUUCUGAUCGUCAUUUCUGUUGUCCUUGAUGGCGACCACGCCUUCCGUCAUUCUUUGAUAUUUAUUAAUUAAUUUGCCUUAGCCCUCCCUGCAAAAUGCAGGGUGAG
This 229-nucleotide unclassified non-coding RNA is filed under the name Hevea brasiliensis (rubber tree). The record is from RNAcentral. Lineage: Eukaryota; Viridiplantae; Streptophyta; Magnoliopsida; Malpighiales; Euphorbiaceae.